This 306-nucleotide long non-coding RNA is filed under the name Mytilus galloprovincialis (Mediterranean mussel). The record is from RNAcentral. Lineage: Eukaryota; Metazoa; Mollusca; Bivalvia; Mytilida; Mytilidae.
GUUUUUAGCUCACCUGGCCCGAAGGGCCAAGUGAGCUUUUCCCAUCACUUUGCGUCCGGCGUCCGUCGUCGUCCGUCGUCCGUCGUCGUUAACUUUUGCAAAAAUCUUCUCCUCUGAAACUGCAGGGCCAAAUUUAACCAAACUUGGCCACAAUCAUCAUUGGGGUAUCUAGUUUAAAAAAUGUGUGGCGUGACCCCACCAACCAACCAAGAUGGCCGCCAUGGCUAAAAAUAGAACAUAGGGGUAAAAUGCAGUUUUUGGCUUAUAACUCAAAAACAAAAGCAUUUAGAGCAAAUCUGACAUGGG